This 294-nucleotide long non-coding RNA is filed under the name Monomorium pharaonis (pharaoh ant). RNAcentral's name for it is "uncharacterized LOC118644688, transcript variant X1". Lineage: Eukaryota; Metazoa; Arthropoda; Insecta; Hymenoptera; Formicidae. The record is from RNAcentral.
CUUGACUUUAAUCAGGAUUCAGCCAAUUAUUCUUACAUCAGUCGGACAACUGUUCUUCUUAAAAUUUAAAAGAACGUAAAGAAUAACUGAAGUUUAUAAAAGCUGAAGAAAUUUUCACAAGGAUUAGAACAGAAAACUGAACUCAAAUGGAAGCGCUUGCACUCUCAUGUCACUAUCAUGUCCUGACAAUUUCGGAUUUUAUAAAACUAUAGGAGAUAUUGUGAUUGACGUUGAGAUUGUGAUUGACAUCUGGAGCAGAGCUAUAAUUUUGUUUAACAUUACGUGAAGUUUAUU